Molecule: long non-coding RNA, 984 nt
Filed under: Canis lupus familiaris (dog)
Lineage: Eukaryota; Metazoa; Chordata; Mammalia; Carnivora; Canidae
Description: lncRNA (ENSCAFG00040011838.1)
Source: RNAcentral
CUCGUGAUGACUUUGUCUCUCCCUUUCUGAUCCUGGCGACGUUACCAUCUUUCAUCUCCCCGGUGUGCAGGCCCUGCUCUCCAGAAUAGAGCUGAGCCAGGACCGGGGCCCGGCACCUGCUGCUCAGGGGCGCGCGCGUACGUCAGACGGAAGGUCAGGAAGCCCCGCAGUCCUGCCCCCGGGCUCCCUCCUAGCACCCUGCCAAGCACGCUGCCCCCGGGCUCCGUCCCAGCACCCCGCCAUCGGGAGGCUGGCUGACUAGGACAAAGGCCUAGCUGAGACGGUGCCGCGGGUAAUGGGAGCAGAACCUCGGUGGCUCACCAGCUAUUUUCAUCCCUGAGGAGAAAGCAUCGGUGUCAGCGUUGAACCAGCUGCGGCUUCCACAGGAUGUCAGACGGAGACAGAUGCUUGUGCCCCAGCCCUCACCGCAUGGCCCGCCUCUGCAGGAGCCAAGGCAUCAGCUGUCUGCCCUUCUUCUGCAAACAAUGCCACACAAGAGACACAAUCACAGCUAACGGUUUGUUAUCAAGAGUGCCUCAGUCUCCCGUCUCUCUGCCUCCCCUCUGCCUCCACACCACACAUACAAUUUCCCUUUGGGAAACUGCUUUCUUUCUUUCCUCUUUCUUUCUUUCUUUCUUUCUUUCUUCUUCUUCUUCUUCUUCUUCUUCUUCUUCUUCUUCUUCUUCCUUCCUUCCUUCCUUCCUUCCUUCCUUCCUUCCUUCCUUCCUUCUUUCUUUCUUUCUUUCUUUCUUUCUUUCUUUCUUUCUUUCUUUCUUUCUUCUUUCUUUCCUUCUUCUCUUUCUUUCUUUCUUUCUUUCUUUCUUUCUUUCUUUCUUUCUUCUUUCUUUCUUUUCUUCUUUUCUUUCUUUCUUUCUUUCUUUCUUUCUUUCUUUCUUUCUUCUUCUUCUUUUCUUUCUUUCUUUCUUUCUUUCUUUCUUUCUUUCUUUCUUUCUUUCUUUCUUUUCUUUUUUUUUUAUCCAAUAA